UGGAUGAUGUGGAUUAAUUCGAUGCAACGCGAAAAACCUUACCUACCCUUGACAUGUUCGGAAUUCCGCAGAGAUGUGGAAGUGCUCGAAAGAGAACCGGAACACAGGUGCUGCAUGGCUGUCGUCAGCUCGUGUCGUGAGAUGUUGGGUUAAGUCCCGCAACGAGCGCAACCCUUGUCAUUAGUUGCUACGAAAGGGCACUCUAAUGAAACUGCCGGUGACAAACCGGAGGAAGGUGGGGAUGACGUCAAGUCCUCAUGGCCCUUAUGGGUAGGGCUUCACACGUCAUACAAUGGUCGGUACAGAGGGCUGCCAACCCGUAAGGGGGAGCCAAUCCUUUAAAACCGAUCGUAGUCCGGAUUGAGGUCUGCAACUCGACCUCAUGAAGUCGGAAUCGCUAGUAAUCGUGGAUCAGAAUGUCACGGUGAAUACGUUCCCGGGUCUU
RNAcentral lists this ribosomal RNA (445 nucleotides) under uncultured Alcaligenaceae bacterium. RNAcentral describes it as "bacterial SSU rRNA". It matches the Rfam family "Bacterial small subunit ribosomal RNA", at positions 933 to 1382 of the family's 1533-position model. The record is from RNAcentral. Lineage: Bacteria; Pseudomonadati; Pseudomonadota; Betaproteobacteria; Burkholderiales; Alcaligenaceae.